This 207-nucleotide long non-coding RNA is filed under the name Physcomitrium patens. RNAcentral describes it as "long non-coding RNA (PPAT_LNC013328)". Lineage: Eukaryota; Viridiplantae; Streptophyta; Bryopsida; Funariales; Funariaceae. The record is from RNAcentral.
AAUAAAACAAAACAAAACAAAAUAAAACAAAACAUAAGAAAGCCAAAAUUCCCCUGAAGAGUCUUUAUAUCUCCCUCCUAAGACGAUUGCCCUUCUUUUCUCUAAAAUUUUUCUCCCUAAAUCCUACCUCUAAAUCCUAAAUCCUAAAUUCUACUUCCAAAUCCUAAAUCCUAAAUCCUACUUCCAAACCUUAAACCCUAAACCCUA